This 522-nucleotide ribosomal RNA is filed under the name uncultured bacterium. Its description in RNAcentral is "bacterial SSU rRNA". It matches the Rfam family "Bacterial small subunit ribosomal RNA", at positions 259 to 769 of the family's 1533-position model. The record is from RNAcentral.
AAAGGCUCACCUAGGCGACGAUCCGUAGCGGGUCUGAGAGGAUGAUCCGCCACACUGGGACUGAGACACGGCCCAGACUCCUACGGGAGGCAGCAGUGGGGAAUUUUGGACAAUGGGCGCAAGCCUGAUCCAGCCAUGCCGCGUGAGUGAAGAAGGCCUUCGGGUUGUAAAGCUCUUUCGGCCGGGAAGAAAUCGUGGUCUCUAACAUAGGCCAUGGAUGACGGUACCGGACUAAGAAGCACCGGCUAACUACGUGCCAGCAGCCGCGGUAAUACGUAGGGUGCGAGCGUUAAUCGGAAUUACUGGGCGUAAAGCGUGCGCAGGCGGUUUUGUAAGACAGAUGUGAAAUCCCCGGGGCUUAACCUGGGGAACUGCGUUUGUGACUGCAAGGCUAGAGUACGGCAGAGGGGGGUGGAAUUCCUGGUGUAGCAGUGAAAUGCGUAGAGAUCAGGAGGAACACCGAUGGCGAAGGCAGCCCCCUGGGGCCUGUACUGACGCUCAUGCACGAAAGCGUGGGGGAGC